This 389-nucleotide unclassified non-coding RNA is filed under the name uncultured Chaetothyriales. Its description in RNAcentral is "sequence contains ITS2". The stretch from base 1 to 155 matches the Rfam family "5.8S ribosomal RNA". Lineage: Eukaryota; Fungi; Ascomycota; Eurotiomycetes; Chaetothyriales. The record is from RNAcentral.
AACUUUUGACAACGGAUCUCUUGGUUCUGGCAUCGAUGAAGAACGCAGCGAAAUGCGAUCAGUAAUGCGAAUUGCAGAAUUUCCGUGAGUCAUCGAAUCUUUGAACGCACAUUGCGCCCUUUGGCAUUCCGAAGGGCAUGCCUGUUCGAGCGUCAUUAUCCUCUCUCAAACCUCGUGUUUGGUGUUGGACCGCGUUGGACCGCCUCCAUGGCCAACUGGUCUCAAAGACAAUGACGGCGUCCCCGGGACCCUCUUCGCACUGACUUCUCCGGAGCACGCGUAGAGUUUCAAGGGCCCAGGGACCCGGUCGCCUCUAAAUUUUUUAUCAGGUUGACCUCGGAUCAGGUAGGAAUACCCGCUGAACUUAAGCAUAUCAAUAAGCGGAGGCU